GAUGUACGCUGGCGUCGUGCCUAAUACAUGCAAGUCGAGCGAACAGACGAGGAGCUUGCUCCUCUGACGUUAGCGGCGGACGGGUGAGUAACACGUGGAUAACCUACCUAUAAGACUGGGAUAACUUCGGGAAACCGGAGCUAAUACCGGAUAAUAUAUUGAACCGCAUGGUUCAAUAGUGAAAGACGGUUUUGCUGUCACUUAUAGAUGGAUCCGCGCCGCAUUAGCUAGUUGGUAAGGUAACGGCUUACCAAGGCAACGAUGCGUAGCCGACCUGAGAGGGUGAUCGGCCACACUGGAACUGAGACACGGUCCAGACUCCUACGGGAGGCAGCAGUAGGGAAUCUUCCGCAAUGGGCGAAAGCCUGACGGGGCAACGCCGCGUGAGUGAUGAAGGUCUUCGGAUCGUAAAACUCUGUUAUUAGGGAAGAACAAAUGUGUAAGUAACUAUGCACGUCUUGACGGUACCUAAUCAGAAAGCCACGGCUAACUACGUG
This 497-nucleotide ribosomal RNA is filed under the name uncultured bacterium. Its description in RNAcentral is "partial 16S ribosomal RNA". It matches the Rfam family "Bacterial small subunit ribosomal RNA", at positions 28 to 507 of the family's 1533-position model. The record is from RNAcentral.